RNAcentral lists this ribosomal RNA (465 nucleotides) under Vreelandella stevensii. RNAcentral's name for it is "partial 16S ribosomal RNA". It matches the Rfam family "Bacterial small subunit ribosomal RNA", at positions 338 to 795 of the family's 1533-position model. Lineage: Bacteria; Pseudomonadati; Pseudomonadota; Gammaproteobacteria; Oceanospirillales; Halomonadaceae. The record is from RNAcentral.
CCUACGGGCGGCAGCAGUGGGGAAUAUUGGACAAUGGGGGCAACCCUGAUCCAGCCAUGCCGCGUGUGUGAAGAAGGCCCUCGGGUUGUAAAGCACUUUCAGUGAGGAAGAACGCCUGGUGGUUAAUACCCAUCAGGAAAGACAUCACUCACAGAAGAAGCACCGGCUAACUCCGUGCCAGCAGCCGCGGUAAUACGGAGGGUGCGAGCGUUAAUCGGAAUUACUGGGCGUAAAGCGCGCGUAGGUGGCUUGAUAAGCCGGUUGUGAAAGCCCCGGGCUCAACCUGGGAACGGCAUCCGGAACUGUCAAGCUAGAGUGCAGGAGAGGAAGGUAGAAUUCCCGGUGUAGCGGUGAAAUGCGUAGAGAUCGGGAGGAAUACCAGUGGCGAAGGCGGCCUUCCGGACUGACACUGACACUGAGGUGCGAAAGCGUGGGUAGCAAACAGGAUUAGAUACCCCAGUAGUC